CUGACGGGUGCUAUACUGCAAGUCGAGCGGACAGAUGGGAGCUUGCUCCCUGAUGUUAGCGGCGGACGGGUGAGUAACACGUGGGUAACCUGCCUGUAAGACUGGGAUAACUCCGGGAAACCGGGGCUAAUACCGGAUGCUUGUUUGAACCGCAUGGUUCAAACAUAAAAGGUGGCUUCGGCUACCACUUACAGAUGGACCCGCGGCGCAUUAGCUAGUUGGUGAGGUAAUGGCUCACCAAGGCGACGAUGCGUAGCCGACCUGAGAGGGUGAUCGGCCACACUGGGACUGAGACACGGCCCAGACUCCUACGGGAGGCAGCAGUAGGGAAUCUUCCGCAAUGGACGAAAGUCUGACGGAGCAACGCCGCGUGAGUGAUGAAGGUUUUCGGAUCGUAAAGCUCUGUUGUUAGGGAAGAACAAGUACCGUUCGAAUAGGGCGGUACCUUGACGGUACCUAACCAGAAAGCCACGGCUAACUACGUGCCAGCAGCCGCGGUAAUACGUAGGUGGCAAGCGUUGUCCGGAAUUAUUGGGCGUAAAGGGCUCGCAGGCGGUUYCUUAAGUCUGAUGUGAAAGCCCCCGGCUCAACCGGGGAGGGUCAUUGGAAACUGGGGAACUUGAGUGCAGAAGAGGAGAGUGGAAUUCCACGUGUAGCGGUGAAAUGCGUAGAGAUGUGGAGGAACACCAGUGGCGAAGGCGACUCUCUGGUCUGUAACUGACGCUGAGGAGCGAAAGCGUGGGGAGCGAACAGGAUUAGAUACCCUGGUAGUCCACGCCGUAAACGAUGAGUGCUAAGUGUUAGGGGGUUUCCGCCCCUUAGUGCUGCAGCUAACGCAUUAAGCACUCCGCCUGGGGAGUACGGUCGCAAGACUGAAACUCAAAGGAAUUGACGGGGGCCCGCACAAGCG
Molecule: ribosomal RNA, 910 nt
Filed under: Bacillus stercoris
Lineage: Bacteria; Bacillati; Bacillota; Bacilli; Caryophanales; Bacillaceae
Description: bacterial SSU rRNA
Source: RNAcentral